GGUGAGUAUAAUGUGGGUAUCUGCCUUUUGGUUUGGAAUAACAUGAGGAAACUUGUGCUAAUACCGAAUAAGCCCUUACGGGGAAAGUUUUAACGCCGAAAGAUGAGCUCGCACUUGAUUAGCUAGUUGGUAGGGUAAAAGCCUACCAAGGCUACGAUCAAUAGCUGAUUUGAGAGGAUGAUCAGCCACAUUGGGACUGAGACACGGCCCAGACUCCUACGGGAGGCAGCAGUGGGGAAUCUUGCACAAUGGGGGAAACCCUGAUGCAGCGAUGCCGCGUGAGUGAAGAAGGCCUUUGGGUUGUAAAGCUCUUUCGUCGGGGAAGAAAAUGACUGUACCCGAAUAAGAAGGUCCGGCUAACUUCGUGCCAGCAGCCGCGGUAAUACGAAGGGACCUAGCGUAGUUCGGAAUUACUGGGCUUAAAGGGCUCGUAGGUGGUUAGAAAAGUUGGUGGUGAAAUCCCAAGGCUUAACCUUGGAACUGCCAUCAAAACUUUUUAACUAGAGUAUGAUAGAGGAAAGUGGAAUUUCUAGUGUAGAGGUGAAAUUCGUAGAUAUUAGAAAGAACACCGAUUGCGAAGGCAACUUUCUGGAUCAUUACUGACACUGAGGAGCGAAAGCAUGGGUAGCGAAGAGGAUUAGAUACCCUCGUAGUCCAUGCUGUAAACGAUGUGUGCUAGACGUUGGAAAUUUAUUUUUUC
This 700-nucleotide ribosomal RNA is filed under the name uncultured Pelagibacterium sp. Its description in RNAcentral is "bacterial SSU rRNA". It matches the Rfam family "Bacterial small subunit ribosomal RNA", at positions 105 to 840 of the family's 1533-position model. Lineage: Bacteria; Pseudomonadati; Pseudomonadota; Alphaproteobacteria; Hyphomicrobiales; Devosiaceae. The record is from RNAcentral.